UCUGGCCUGCCCACUGACGUUUGUUAAAGGGCCGCGGUAUUUUGACCGUGCGAAGGUAGCAUAAUCAUUAGUCUUUUAAUUGGAGGCUUGUAUGAAUGGUUGGACAAAAAAUAAGCUGUCUCUGUUUUGUAUCUUGAAUUUAACUUUUAAGUGAAAAGGCUUAAAUGAUCUGGGGGGACGAUAAGACCCUAUAAAGCUUUACGGUUUGUUAAUUAAAUUAUAAAUUGUUAGUAUAAACUUAAUUUAGCUAACAGCUGUUUCGUUGGGGCGACGAAAAUAUAAUAGAUAGUAACUGUUUUUCUUUUAUAAUAACAAUGAUUUUUGGUAGUAAUUGAUCCUUUAUUAAAGAUUAAAAGAUUAAGUUACUUUAGGGAUAACAGCGUAAUCUUCUUUGAGAGUUCAUAUCGACAAGAAGGGUUGCGACCUCGAUGUUGAAUUAAGGUUUCCUUGAGGUGUAGCAGUUUCAUGGGAGGGUCUGUUCGACCCUUAAAUCCUUACGUGAUCUGAGUCCAGACCGGA
RNAcentral lists this ribosomal RNA (519 nucleotides) under Metapenaeus monoceros. RNAcentral's name for it is "partial 16S ribosomal RNA gene". It matches the Rfam family "Bacterial large subunit ribosomal RNA", at positions 1853 to 2620 of the family's 2925-position model. Lineage: Eukaryota; Metazoa; Arthropoda; Malacostraca; Decapoda; Penaeidae. The record is from RNAcentral.